CCUCGGGAGGCAGCAGUAGGGAAUAUUGCGCAAUGGGGGCAACCCUGACGCAGCAAUGCCGCGUGAGUGAAGAAGGCCUUCGGGUCGUAAAGCUCUUUUAUGGGGGAAGAUGAUGACGGUACCCCAUGAAUAAGCACCGGCUAACUACGUGCCAGCAGCCGCGGUAAUACGUAGGGUGCGAGCGUUGUUCGGAAUUACUGGGCGUAAAGGGCGUGCAGGCGGAUUGGCAAGCCGGAGGUGAAAGCCCGGGGCUCAACCCCGGAGGGUCUUUCGGAACUGCCAGUCUUGAGAGGGUCAGGGGCCAGCGGAAUUCCUGGUGUAGAGGUGAAAUUCGUAGAGAUCAGGAGGAACACCGGCGGCGAAAGCGGCUGGCUGGGGCCACUCUGACGCUGGGGCGCGAAAGCGUGGGGAGCAAACAGGAUUAGAUACCCUGGUAGUCCACGCCGUAAACGAUGGGCACUAAGCGUCCGACGGGUUCGACCCUGUUGGGUGCUGCAGUUAACGCGUUAAGUGCCCCGCCUGGGGAGUACGGUCGCAAGACUAAAACUCAAAGGAAUUGACGG
Molecule: ribosomal RNA, 563 nt
Filed under: uncultured bacterium
Lineage: Bacteria
Description: bacterial SSU rRNA
Rfam family: Bacterial small subunit ribosomal RNA
Source: RNAcentral